AUAGAGACUCAGAGCUGCAUAUCAAUAAGCGGAGGAAAAGAAACUAACAAGGAUUCCCUUAGUAACGGCGAGUGAAGCGGGAAGAGCUCAAAUUUGAAAUCUUCAAGGUCCUACCUUGACGAAUUGUAGUUUAUAGAAGUGUUUUCUGUUAGAUGAGUAGCAAAAGUUCCUUGGAAUGGGACAUCAUAGAGGGUGAGAAUCCCGUAUUUGGUUAUUCAUUCUAGCUUUGUGAUACACUUUCAAAGAGUCGGAUUGUUUGGGAAUGCAGUCCAAAAUGGGUGGUAAAUUUCAUCUAAAGCUAAAUAUUGGCGAGAGACCGAUAGCGAACAAGUACCGUGAGGGAAAGAUGAAAAGAACUUUUGAAAAGAGAGUUAAACAGUACGUGAAAUUGUCAAAAGGGAAGCGUUUGACACCAGUGUUGUUUUCCUCGAAAAUCAAUUAAAAAAGGCUGGAUUAUGUGUUGUACUGACUUUAUCAGCUUUCUGCACUCUUUUCUUGUCUUUUUUAAUGCACUUUUCGUUUAACAAGUCAACAUCAAUUUCUUUUGUUGUAAAAGGGUCAUUGGAAGGUGGCUUUCUUUUCGGAGAAAGUGUUUAUAGCCUUUGGACCUCUGCAAUCGGAGAGACUGAGGUCUGCAGCGUAGAUCCUUCGGGGUUAGAUACAUUUGUGCUAAGUUAUAGCCUUUCAUAGACAACUUGUUGACUAUGAUUCAGUCAUGUCGCUUACUCGCUUAUGCUAUUUUACCUACGCUUAGGAUGUUGACGAUCAGCUGAGCGCG
RNAcentral lists this ribosomal RNA (778 nucleotides) under uncultured Neocallimastigales. RNAcentral's name for it is "partial large subunit ribosomal RNA". It matches the Rfam family "Eukaryotic large subunit ribosomal RNA", at positions 23 to 646 of the family's 3401-position model. Lineage: Eukaryota; Fungi; Neocallimastigomycota; Neocallimastigomycetes; Neocallimastigales. The record is from RNAcentral.